CGGAGCGGCCCAGGCGAUCGCUGCUGGACACGGUCCAGCGGAGGAAAGUCCGAGCUCCACAGGGCAGGAUGCCAGGUAACGCCUGGUGGGGGCGACCCCGAGGAAAGUGCCACAGAAAGCAGUCCACCCCGCCGCCUCCUCUUGGGGGUCGCGGGGCCAGGGUGAAAGGGUGAGGUAAGAGCUCACCGGGCCGGCGGUGACGUCGGUCGCAGGGCAAACCCCAUCCGGAGCAAGACGAAAUAGGGAAGCGUUCGAGGGUGGCCCGCCCGAGCUUCCGGGUAGCGUCGCUCGAGGCGCGCGGCGACGCGCGUCCCAGAGGAAUGAUCGCCCGCCGGAGCCGGUGACGGCCCCGGCGACAGAACUCGGCUUACGGACCCUUCGACCU
Molecule: RNase P RNA, 385 nt
Filed under: Polyangiaceae bacterium LLY-WYZ-14_1
Lineage: Bacteria; Pseudomonadati; Myxococcota; Polyangiales; Polyangiaceae
Description: RNase P RNA component class A
Rfam family: Bacterial RNase P class A
About the family: Ribonuclease P (RNase P) is a ubiquitous endoribonuclease, found in archaea, bacteria and eukarya as well as chloroplasts and mitochondria. Its best characterised activity is the generation of mature 5'-ends of tRNAs by cleaving the 5'-leader elements of precursor-tRNAs.
Source: RNAcentral